Strongylocentrotus purpuratus (purple sea urchin) is the source of this 289-nucleotide long non-coding RNA. RefSeq lists it as uncharacterized. The transcript has 3 exons. Lineage: Eukaryota; Metazoa; Echinodermata; Echinoidea; Camarodonta; Strongylocentrotidae. The record is from RefSeq and is a predicted model, not a curated record.
GGUCAGGAAACAACAUUCAACCUUCUCUCCUUCACUCUUCUUCAUCUUGGUAGAAAUCCUCAAGUCAUGAAAAAACUCCGUGAUGAAAUUGAUUCUGUAUUGAAAGGGAGAAACUAUGUUGAAUAUUCAGAUAUCAGCAAGAUGAAGUAUCUAACCUUGGUUUUGAAAGAGGCUCUUAGAAUCAACCCUCCUUUUGGUCAUAUCCAUAGACUUUUACCUCAUGAGAUGGAUCUAUGUGGAUACAAAGUACCUAAAGGCAGUGUUGUAAUGGUAAGUAUGUAUAUCCACA